This is a long non-coding RNA of Pangasianodon hypophthalmus (striped catfish), 784 nucleotides long. RefSeq lists it as uncharacterized. The record is from RefSeq and is a predicted model, not a curated record. The transcript has 5 exons. Lineage: Eukaryota; Metazoa; Chordata; Actinopteri; Siluriformes; Pangasiidae.
ACGGUGCAUUGAGAGAAUUCUGCCAACUAAAGGCCGCUUUAUUGGAAAGUUUUGUUCAUCUUGAUAAUACAGUUCAAAACAAUUCGGGAACUCAAGAAUCAUCAACCGAGGAGAGCAAUGUUCACUCCAACCACAUGCAGAACAAAGACGUUCUUUUACAACAACCUGGCUUAGGAUGGCUCCAGCACGUCUGGGUUUAAAUGACCAUCUGCCGAACAUGAGGGAUGCUAUUGGUCAUCGGAAUGCAGGAACACCCCAAUCAAAGGGUAUAAAUUACCCCUCACUGGAGCUGAACUCGAGUUGACCAACACUUAAAGGGGCCUUUUGUUUGGAUUACGUGUCUGGCUGAGCUUCUCCCAAACCACACCACGCUACAUCCUGCUGAGUUUGGAAUGACCUUUGUUCUCAAUUGAGUCAGCAAAAAGAACUCCAUACCCAGUGCUCCUCAACUUUAAAGAGCACGUGUUGAUGGCGGUUCGUGACAGUCUACCCCUCCACCCUCUAAAGCGAUGAUAUGAGGCGUCAGGUGUAUAUGGUUGCUCGAGAACUUGUGGCAGGUGUAUCGGUGGGAAAAGAACUUUAGGGUAUAUAAGAAACGAGACAGUCUAACAUUUUCCGUGAAGAAAUUCGGGAAUCAACAUGAUGGUUCAUGCUUUAAAAGUUCAAGCUGAAAUUCACCAGGUGCCUGAGUAUCAGGUUACAGCGGAAGAACUAGAGGGUAUUAGCCUCACUAAGACGGACCCAGGUACCGUAUCUCUCCGUUUUUGUUUUUGGCCUCUGUUAU